Non-coding RNA from Myodes glareolus (Bank vole), 532 nucleotides. Lineage: Eukaryota; Metazoa; Chordata; Mammalia; Rodentia; Cricetidae. The record is from the annotation of a RefSeq genome assembly.
AGGAGCUUCAGGCUUCAUAAGCUGGGAGGGAACUCAUCAGUGUCUGGUCUGGCAGGGUUCCUAGGUGGAGCUGACUGGAUGUAGGAGGGGAACUUCAAGAACCACCUUGACACCACAGUCCAGGAGUUGGUUACUUGCUUCUGUCUUUAGCUGUCAGACAAACACCAUGAAGAGGCUGCUGUGCUCUCUGCUAGGGCUGCUGUGCACCCAGGUUUGCUGGGUGAAAGGGCAACAAGUGAAGCAGAGUCCAGUGUCCUUGGUUCUGCAGGAAGGAGAGAAUGCAGAGCUGUUUUCCACCUCUGCAAGCCAAGUACAGUGGUUUUAUCAAAGUCCUCAGGGACACCUCAUCAGCCUGUUCUUCAAUCCUUCUGGAACAAAGCAAAGUGGAAGACUGAAGUCCACGACAGUCACUCAGAAACGCUGCAGCUCUUUGUACAUUUCCUCCUCUCGGAGCACAGACUCAGGCACUUAUUUCUGUGCUGUGGAUCCACAGUGCUCCACACACACCUGCAGCCAGCACAUAAACCUUUAG